RNAcentral lists this ribosomal RNA (494 nucleotides) under uncultured bacterium. RNAcentral's name for it is "partial 16S ribosomal RNA". It matches the Rfam family "Bacterial small subunit ribosomal RNA", at positions 28 to 523 of the family's 1533-position model. The record is from RNAcentral.
GAUGAACGCUGGCGGCGUGCUUAACACAUGCAAGUCGAACGGGAAAUACUUCAUUGAGACUUCGGUGGAUUUGAUUUAUUUCCAGUGGCGGACGGGUGAGUAACGCGUGGGUAACCUGCCUUAUACAGGGGGAUAACAGUCAGAAAUGACUGCUAAUACCGCAUAAGCGCACAGGACCGCAUGGUCCGGUGUGAAAAACUCCGGUGGUAUAAGAUGGACCCGCGUUGGAUUAGCUUGUUGGUGGGGUAACGGCCCACCAAGGCGACGAUCCAUAGCCGGCCUGAGAGGGUGAACGGCCACAUUGGGACUGGGACACGGCCCAGACUCCUACGGGAGGCAGCAGUGGGGAAUAUUGCACAAUGGGGGAAACCCUGAUGCAGCGACGCCGCGUGAAGGAAGAAGUAUCUCGGUAUGUAAACUUCUAUCAGCAGGGAAGAUAGUGACGGUACCUGACUAAGAAGCCCCGGCUAACUACGUGCCAGCAGCCGCAGUAA